This 211-nucleotide long non-coding RNA is filed under the name Schizosaccharomyces pombe (fission yeast). RNAcentral's name for it is "centromere proximal lncRNA". Lineage: Eukaryota; Fungi; Ascomycota; Schizosaccharomycetes; Schizosaccharomycetales; Schizosaccharomycetaceae. The record is from RNAcentral.
AUUUUUUCGAGCGCGAGCAAACUGUAGCUUAAAUAAACCAAUGUUUAUGAAUUCAAAGUGAACGCAUAAAUCAUCCACCUCUGUAACCAACAUAAUUUAAUCACGAUCCUAUUAUAUUUAAUUAUGUUUCUAUAGGCCAGGUUCAUCAGUGUAACUGUGCAACGGAACUGAGAAUAAAUAAUCCAAAUUCGACUACUCAUUAAGUAUGCAG